This 403-nucleotide ribosomal RNA is filed under the name uncultured bacterium. RNAcentral describes it as "bacterial SSU rRNA". It matches the Rfam family "Bacterial small subunit ribosomal RNA", at positions 356 to 773 of the family's 1533-position model. The record is from RNAcentral.
GGGGAAUAUUGCACAAUGGGGGAAACCCUGAUGCAGCAACGCCGCGUGAAGGAUGAAGGCCCUUGGGUUGUAAACUUCUUUGAUCAGGGAAGAAAGAAAUGACGGUACCUGAAUAACAAGCCACGGCUAACUACGUGCCAGCAGCCGCGGUAAUACGUAGGUGGCAAGCGUUGUCCGGAUUUACUGGGUGUAAAGGGCGUGUAGGCGGGAUCACAAGUCGGAAGUGAAAUCCCCGGGCUUAACCCGGGAACUGCUUCUGAAACUGUGGUUCUUGAGUACUGGAGAGGAAAGCGGAAUUCCUAGUGUAGCGGUGAAAUGCGUAGAUAUUAGGAGGAACACCAGUGGCGAAGGCGGCUUUCUGGACAGAAACUGACGCUGAGGCGCGAAAGCGUGGGGAGCAAAC